GACGAACGCUGGCGGCGUGCCUAAUACAUGCAAGUAGAACGCUGAAGAGAGGAGCUUGCUCUUCUUGGAUGAGUUGCGAACGGGUGAGUAACGCGUAGGUAACCUGCCUUGUAGCGGGGGAUAACUAUUGGAAACGAUAGCUAAUACCGCAUAACAAUGGAUGACACAUGUCAUUUAUUUGAAAGGGGCAAUUGCUCCACUACAAGAUGGACCUGCGUUGUAUUAGCUAGUAGGUGAGGUAACGGCUCACCUAGGCGACGAUACAUAGCCGACCUGAGAGGGUGAUCGGCCACACUGGGACUGAGACACGGCCCAGACUCCUACGGGAGGCAGCAGUAGGGAAUCUUCGGCAAUGGGGGCAACCCUGACCGAGCAACGCCGCGUGAGUGAAGAAGGUUUUCGGAUCGUAAAGCUCUGUUGUAAGUCAAGAACGAGUGUGAGAGUGGAAAGUUCACACUGUGACGGUAGCUUACCAGAAAGGGACGGCUAACUACGUGCCAGCAGCCGCGGUAAUACGUAGGUCCCGAGCGUUGUCCGGAUUUAUUGGGCGUAAAGCGAGCGCAGGCGGUUUGAUAAGUCUGAAGUUAAAGGCUGUGGCUCAACCAUAGUUCGCUUUGGAAACUGUCAAACUUGAGUGCAGAAGGGGAGAGUGGAAUUCCAUGUGUAGCGGUGAAAUGCGUAGAUAUAUGGAGGAACACCGGUGGCAAAAGCGGCUCUCUGGUCUGUAACUGACGCUGAGGCUCGAAAGCGUGGGGAGCGAACAGGAUUAGAUACCCUGGUAGUCCACGCCGUAAACGAUGAGUGCUAGGUGUUGGAUCCUUUCCGGGAUUCAGUGCCGCAGCUAACGCAUUAAGCACUCCGCCUGGGGAGUACGACCGCAAGGUUGAAACUCAAAGGAAUUGACGGGGGCCCGCACAAGCGGUGGAGCAUGUGGUUUAAUUCGAAGCAACGCGAAGAACCUUACCAGGUCUUGACAUCCCGAUGCUAUUUCUAGAGAUAGAAAGUUACUUCGGUACAUCGGUGACAGGUGGUGCAUGGUUGUCGUCAGCUCGUGUCGUGAGAUGUUGGGUUAAGUCCCGCAACGAGCGCAACCCCUAUUGUUAGUUGCCAUCAUUCAGUUGGGCACUCUAGCGAGACUGCCGGUAAUAAACCGGAGGAAGGUGGGGAUGACGUCAAAUCAUCAUGCCCCUUAUGACCUGGGCUACACACGUGCUACAAUGGUUGGUACAACGAGUUGCGAGUCGGUGACGGCAAGCUAAUCUCUUAAAGCCAAUCUCAGUUCGGAUUGUAGGCUGCAACUCGCCUACAUGAAGUCGGAAUCGCUAGUAAUCGCGGAUCAGCACGCCGCGGUGAAUACGUUCCCGGGCCU
This 1369-nucleotide ribosomal RNA is filed under the name uncultured bacterium. RNAcentral's name for it is "bacterial SSU rRNA". It matches the Rfam family "Bacterial small subunit ribosomal RNA", at positions 28 to 1381 of the family's 1533-position model. The record is from RNAcentral.